This 611-nucleotide ribosomal RNA is filed under the name uncultured bacterium. RNAcentral's name for it is "partial 16S ribosomal RNA". The stretch from base 351 to 611 matches the Rfam family "Bacterial small subunit ribosomal RNA", at positions 874 to 1129 of the family's 1533-position model. The record is from RNAcentral.
AGGCAAGUGGCGUCAACCGUACCUGGUAAGACGGCCCCGAAUAACCGUGAAUGGAGCUUAAGAAGUAUCGNUGGAAGGAGGGAACCCGGAAAGUUUCCCCGGGGUGUAGCGGGGUGAAAAGAGCCGGUUAGAAUAUCUGGGAGGGAAACAACCAAGUGGNCGAAAGGCAGGCUGUUCACAUGGCAACAAAGACUGGACGGCUCAAUGGUUGCGAAAAGCUAGGGUAGGCGAACGGGAAGNUUAGAUAACCCCCGGUAGGUCACUAGACACGUUAAACCGAUGGAAUANUGGGUGUGGGUGCACGCAAGGGCAUCUGUGCCGGAGUGAAAAAGCGUUAAGUAUCCACGCCAUGGGGANUACAGGUCGCAAGACAUGAAACUCAAAGGAAGACGGGGGCCCGCACAAGCGGUGGAGCACGAGGUAAAGUCGAUGCAAACCGAAGAACCGACACAGGGAUGACAUAGACGGUCGUAGGCGCGAGAGAGCGCUGACCGCGCAGAGAUGCGCGGAGCCGCCACAGGUGCUGCAUGGCAUGUCGUCAGCUCGUGNCGCGAGAUGUGGGUCAAGUCCAAAACCAGCGGGACCCUAAUCCACCCCCAUUUUCNCAGGUG